GUGCUUGCUUUGGUAGCACGUAUUCUAAAAUUGGAAUGAUACAGAGAUUAGCAUGGCCCCUGGACAAAGAUGAUGUGCAAAUCUUUGAAGCAUUUCAUGUUUUU
Bison bison bison is the source of this 104-nucleotide small nuclear RNA. The record is from Ensembl. Lineage: Eukaryota; Metazoa; Chordata; Mammalia; Artiodactyla; Bovidae.